UCAACAAAAGAGGCUUCGAGUCCAAUAUUGCAGCUUUUAGAUAAUGGAAAUUUAGUACUGAGAGAUAGGGAAGAAGGAAAUUCAGAGAAUUAUCUAUGGCAAAGCUUUGAUAAUCCUUUAGAUACACUGUUACCAGGGAUGAAGUUUGGGUGGGACUUCAAGACUGGUCUUGACCGGCGUUUAUCCGCUUGGAAGAACUGGGAUGACCCAUCUCCUGAAGAUUUUACCUGGGGAAUAGAACGUACUAAUUACCCUAAAGCAGUCAUGUGGAAGGGCUCUGAGAAGUACUACAGGAGUGGCCCUUGGAAUGGCCUUCGUUUCAGCGAUGCUCCGGAGUUGAGAGGCAACCCGGUUUUCGAGUUCAGUUUCGUCAACAAUGAGAAUGAGGUAUACUACGAAUACCAUCUUCCAAAUAAAUCGAUAAUAUCAAGAAUCGUUAUGAACCAAACUAAAUAUUCCCGUGAACGCUAUAUAUGGAUCGCUGCAACCUCAACUUGGAGCCCGUAUUCAUAUGUGCCAAGAGACAACUGUGAUGACUACAACCUUUGUGGCGCCUAUGGAAAUUGUAUCAUUGGUGAGUCACCAGUCUGUCAAUGUUUAAAAGGAUUCCAGUCUAAAUCACAAGAAAGAUGGAACCCAGAGGACUGGUCUCAAGGAUGUGUGCGCAUUACUCAACUAAGCUGUCAAGAUAAAGAUAAACAUGGGUUUAUUAAAUUUGUUGGGCUAAAAUUGCCGGAGACUACAAAUUCCUGGGUAAACGAGAGUAUGAAUCUUGAGGAAUGCAGGACUAAAUGCUUGAGUAAUUGUUCCUGUAUGGCUUAUACAAAUUCAGAUAUCAGAGGAAGAGGCAGUGGCUGCACCCUCUGGUAUGGUGAUCUUCUAGAUAUUAGGCAGUUUCCAACCGGUUGACAGAAUCUAUAUGUUCGAAUGCCUGCUUCCGAACUAGAGAUGGAGGUUGGUCGUAACAAGAGGACGGCAGCGAUAGUUGGGGCAUCCGUCACAGUUGUUUUUGGGAUGCUUUUAGUGAGCUAUCGCAUUUGCAGCAGGAAAAGCUUAAAAAGGUAAAAUUAAGUAGACUGAUGACGUGAGAAUUUUAUGUCCAUCUCGUAUUCUAAAGUGAAGCUCACUAUGAAUUUUACUUUUUUUCAUGAGGGGAAACAGCGAAAAGUGUAUUAAUUGGUCAAAACAGGGAAGUCCAAGAAGAAGACAUGGAGCUUCCAAUGUUGGACCUAUCCAUAAUAUCUAGAGCCACUGAUGGUUUUUCAGUCACCAACAAGCUCGGAGAAGGUGGUUUUGGACCCGUAUACAGGGGUGUACUAGCAGAUGGACAAGAAGUUGCUAUGAAGAGGCUUUCGAGAAUCUCUGGACAAGGACCGGAUGAGUUCAGAAAUGAAGUGAAACUGAUAGCCAAACUUCAGCACCGAAAUCUAGUAAAGCUUCUCGGUUGUUGU
Carya illinoinensis is the source of this 1451-nucleotide long non-coding RNA. RefSeq lists it as uncharacterized. The record is from RefSeq and is a predicted model, not a curated record. NCBI's taxonomy places the organism in Eukaryota, Viridiplantae, Streptophyta, Magnoliopsida, Fagales, Juglandaceae. The transcript has 3 exons.